UUUGGUUAAGUUAGAAAGGGCGCACGGUGGAUGCCUUGACACUAGGAGUCGAUGAAGGACGGGACUAACGCCGAUAUGCUUCGGGGAGCUGUAAGUAAGCUUUGAUCCGAAGAUUUCCGAAUGGGGAAACCCACCAUACGUAAUGGUAUGGUAUCCUUAUCUGAAUACAUAGGGUAAGGAAGACAGACCCAGGGAACUGAAACAUCUAAGUACCUGGAGGAAGAGAAAGCAAAUGCGAUUUCCUGAGUAGCGGCGAGCGAAACGGAACAUAGCCCAAACCAACAGGCUUGCCUCUUGGGGUUGUAGGACAUUCUAUACGGAGUUACAAAGGAACGAGGUAGACGAAGCGACCUGGAAAGGUCCGUCGUAGAGGGUAACAACCCCGUAGUCGAAACUUCGUUCUCUCUUGAAUGUAUCCUGAGUACGGCGGAACACGUGAAAUUCCGUCGGAAUCUGGGAGGACCAUCUCCCAAGGCUAAAUACUCCCUAGUGAUCGAUAGUGAACCAGUACCGUGAGGGAAAGGUGAAAAGCACCCCGGAAGGGGAGUGAAAGAGAUCCUGAAACCGUGUGCCUACAAAUAGUCAGAGCCCGUUAACGGGUGAUGGCGUGCCUUUUGUAGAAUGAACCGGCGAGUUACGAUCCCGUGCGAGGUUAAGCUGAAGAGGCGGAGCCGCAGCGAAAGCGAGUCUGAAUAGGGCGUUUAGUACGUGGUCGUAGACCCGAAACCAGGUGAUCUACCCAUGUCCAGGGUGAAGUUCAGGUAACACUGAAUGGAGGCCCGAACCCACGCACGUUGAAAAGUGCGGGGAUGAGGUGUGGGUAGCGGAGAAAUUCCAAUCGAACCUGGAGAUAGCUGGUUCUCCCCGAAAUAGCUUUAGGGCUAGCCUUAAGUGUAAGAGUCUUGGAGGUAGAGCACUGAUUGGACUAGGGGUCCUCAUCGGAUUACCGAAUUCAGUCAAACUCCGAAUGCCAAUGACUUAUCCUUAGGAGUCAGACUGCGAGUGAUAAGAUCCGUAGUCAAAAGGGAAACAGCCCAGACCGCCAGCUAAGGUCCCAAAGUGUGUAUUAAGUGGAAAAGGAUGUGGAGUUGCUUAGACAACUAGGAUGUUGGCUUAGAAGCAGCCACCAUUUAAAGAGUGCGUAAUAGCUCACUAGUCGAGUGACUCUGCGCCGAAAAUGUACCGGGGCUAAAUACACCACCGAAGCUGCGGAUUGAUACCAAUGGUAUCAGUGGUAGGGGAGCGUUCUAAGGACAGUGAAGUCAGACCGGAAGGACUGGUGGAGUGCUUAGAAGUGAGAAUGCCGGUAUGAGUAGCGAAAGACGGGUGAGAAUCCCGUCCACCGAAUGCCUAAGGUUUCCUGAGGAAGGCUCGUCCGCUCAGGGUUAGUCAGGACCUAAGCCGAGGCCGACAGGCGUAGGCGAUGGACAACAGGUUGAUAUUCCUGUACCACCUCUUUAUCGUUUGAGCAAUGGAGGGACGCAGAAGGAUAGAAGAAGCGUGCGAUUGGUUGUGCACGUCCAAGCAGUUAGGCUGAUAAGUAGGCAAAUCCGCUUAUCGUGAAGGCUGAGCUGUGAUGGGGAAGCUCCUUAUGGAGCGAAGUCUUUGAUUCCCCGCUGCCAAGAAAAGCUUCUAGCGAGAUAAAAGGUGCCUGUACCGCAAACCGACACAGGUAGGCGAGGAGAGAAUCCUAAGGUGUGCGAGAGAACUCUGGUUAAGGAACUCGGCAAAAUGACCCCGUAACUUCGGGAGAAGGGGUGCUUUCUUAACGGAAAGCCGCAGUGAAUAGGCCCAAGCGACUGUUUAGCAAAAACACAGCUCUCUGCGAAGCCGUAAGGCGAAGUAUAGGGGGUGACACCUGCCCGGUGCUGGAAGGUUAAGGAGAGGGGUUAGCGUAAGCGAAGCUCUGAACUGAAGCCCCAGUAAACGGCGGCCGUAACUAUAACGGUCCUAAGGUAGCGAAAUUCCUUGUCGGGUAAGUUCCGACCCGCACGAAAGGUGUAACGAUUUGGGCACUGUCUCAACCAGAGACUCGGUGAAAUUAUAGUACCUGUGAAGAUGCAGGUUACCCGCGACAGGACGGAAAGACCCCGUGGAGCUUUACUGUAGCCUGAUAUUGAAUUUUGGUACAGUUUGUACAGGAUAGGCGGGAGCCUUUGAAACCGGAGCGCUAGCUUCGGUGGAGGCGCUGGUGGGAUACCGCCCUGACUGUAUUGAAAUUCUAACCUACGGGUCUUAUCGACCCGGGAGACAGUGUCAGGUGGGCAGUUUGACUGGGGCGGUCGCCUCCUAAAGUGUAACGGAGGCGCCCAAAGGUUCCCUCAGAAUGGUUGGAAAUCAUUCGUAGAGUGCAAAGGCAUAAGGGAGCUUGACUGCGAGACCUACAAGUCGAGCAGGGACGAAAGUCGGGCUUAGUGAUCCGGUGGUUCCGCAUGGAAGGGCCAUCGCUCAACGGAUAAAAGCUACCCCGGGGAUAACAGGCUUAUCUCCCCCAAGAGUCCACAUCGACGGGGAGGUUUGGCACCUCGAUGUCGGCUCAUCGCAUCCUGGGGCUGUAGUCGGUCCCAAGGGUUGGGCUGUUCGCCCAUUAAAGCGGUACGCGAGCUGGGUUCAGAACGUCGUGAGACAGUUCGGUCCCUAUCCGUCGUGGGCGUAGGAAAUUUGAGAGGAGCUGUCCUUAGUACGAGAGGACCGGGAUGGACGCACCGCUGGUGUACCAGUUGUUCUGCCAAGGGCAUAGCUGGGUAGCUAUGUGCGGAAAGGAUAAGUGCUGAAAGCAUCUAAGCAUGAAGCCCCCCUCAAGAUGAGAUUUCCCAUAGCGUAAGCUAGUAAGAUCCCUGAAAGAUGAUCAGGUUGAUAGGUUCGAGGUGGAAGCAUGGUGACAUGUGGAGCUGACGAAUACUAAUAGAUCGAGGACUUAACCAUAUAA
Molecule: ribosomal RNA, 2929 nt
Filed under: Bacillus thuringiensis
Lineage: Bacteria; Bacillati; Bacillota; Bacilli; Caryophanales; Bacillaceae
Description: 23S ribosomal RNA
Rfam family: Bacterial large subunit ribosomal RNA
Source: RNAcentral